Molecule: long non-coding RNA, 854 nt
Filed under: Androctonus crassicauda
Lineage: Eukaryota; Metazoa; Arthropoda; Arachnida; Scorpiones; Buthidae
Source: RNAcentral
GUAGAUGUCUUUCCUCUACAUAUGUCUCUUUUAUGUUCAGUCAGACUUUUAUCAAGUGGCCUCAUGGUUGUUCCUAUAUAAAUUUCUUCCUUCUUUGUGUCCAGGUUUUUGAGUGGUAUCCUAUAUAAAGAAAAAGAAUUACAGUAUAUAUACAGAACUGGACAUCUAUAUGGUUAUACAAGAGGUUUUUAAGAAAGGUUCACAAAAGAGUCUGACAUUCCCUGUCAGGACAAGUAUCGCCAAGAGAAAUGGAAAGUGCCAAAUAUUAAUAUAGGGUAGGGCCAAGCCGAUACCCUAUGCAAUGAAGAACUCUAAGCACAUAAGAUCUUUAGUAGUGAGGAGUGAUAAGAGAUUAGCCUACAAAAGGCUUCCUACAUUGUUUAGCCAGCUUCGUAAUGAGAAAGAUAAAAUGGGGAGUAGGCAGAAGUCGGGGGUAUAGGAUACCACUCAAAAACUUGGACACAAAGAAGGAAGAAAUUUAUAUAGGGGUAACUACGAGGCCACUUGAUAAAAGGCUGACUGAACAUAAAAGAGACAUAUGUAGAAGAAAGACAUCUACGGCUCUAGCAACAUGGGCUUUGGAGUAUAAGUGCAGGUCAGUUGAGAUGAAAUGGAAAUACUAAGAACCUUGGAGAGAGAACAACAUGCACUGCUAGCUGAGGCUAUGGAAAUUUAUGUGAGUGAUAACAAUAAGUACUUGGUGAACAUAACCAACUGGCCCGUGAAUUACCAGCCACCUGGAAAUAUCUUUUAAAUAAGAAUAACAUUGGAGAGGACUAAGAAUGCUUUUUAAAAGAAUAUCUUAUGAUAAAAAAGACACAGCUCUACAAGCAAAGGAUUUUUUUAUAUUAAUG